ACAUCACCAGACAAAGCUCUGGGUCCCAGGGAGGAGGCUCAGCACAGAGGGUGGAAAAACAGCAGAGCUGACAGUCACAGCAGCUGUGCUCAAAGCAUUCCUGGAGCCCAGGCUCUUCUACAUAGGUGAAGACACAGCAGGCAGCAGACACCAUGGGGCACCUCUCAGCCCGACUUCACAGAGUGUGUGUCCCCUGGCAGGGGCUUCUGCUCACAGCCUCACUUCUAACCUUCUGGAACCCGCCCACCAGCGCCCAGCUCACUAUUGAAUCCGUGCCAUCCAAUGCUGCAGAGGGGAAGGACGUUCUUCUACUCACCCACAAUCUGCCCCAGAAUAUUAAUGGCUUCAACUGGUACAAAGGGCAAAGCGUGGACGGCACCCGUCGAAUUAUAGGAUAUGUAAUAGCAACUCAACUAACUACCCCAGGGCCCGCAUACAGCAGCCAAGAGACAAUAUACCCCAAUGCCUCCCUGCUGAUCCAGAACGUCACCCUGAAUGACACAGGAUUCUACACCCUGCAAGUCAUAAAGGUAGAUCUUGUGAAUGAAGAAGCAACUGGCCAGUUCCGUGUAUACCCGGAGUUGUCUAAGCCCUACAUCAACAGCAACAACUCCAACCCUGUGGAGGACGAGGAUGCUGUGGUCUUAACCUGUGAAACUGAGGCUCAGAACACAACCUACCUGUGGUGGGUGAACAAUCAGAGCGUCCCGGUCAGUCCCAGGCUGUUGCUCUCCAGUGACAACAGGACCCUCACUCUACUCAACGUCACAAGGAAUGACACAGGACCCUAUGAGUGUGAAAUACAGAACCCAGUGAGUGUGAACCGCAGUGACCCAGUCACCCUGAAUGUCACCUAUGGCCCGGACACCCCCACCAUUUCCCCUUCAAAAACCUCUUACUAUUCAGGGGCAAAUCUCAGCCUCUUCUGCGAUGCAGCCUCUAACCCACCUGCAGAGUACUCUUGGCUUAUCAAUGGAACACCAUGCCAGAUAAACACCCAAGAGCUCUUUAUCUCCAACAUCACUGUGAAUCGUAGUGGAUCCUAUGCCUGCGUCGCCCUUAACCCAGUCACUGGCCGCAACAGGACCACAGUCAAGACAAUCACAGUCUCUAAACUAAAUCAAGUGGCACGGCCUGAAGUUCAAGCCACCAGCACUACAGUCACAGAAGACAAGGACUCUGUGAGCCUGACCUGCUUCACAAAUGACACUGAAAUCUCCAUCAAGUGGUUCUUUAAUAACCAGAGUAUCUUAUCCUCAGAGAGGAUAAAGCUAUUCCAGGACAACAGAACCCUCAGAAUAGAUCCUGUCAAGAGGCAGGAUGCUGGGCAGUAUUAUUGUGAGGUCUCCAACCCAAUCAGUGUCAACCAAAGUGACCCUAUAAUGCUGACCGUGAAAUAUAUGGAAAGUUCUGGCCUCUCACGGGGGGCCAUUGCUGGCAUUGUGAUUGGAGUACUGGCCGGGAUGGCUCUGAUAGCAGCCCUGGUGGUGUAUUUUCUGCAUUCCAGGAAGACCGGCAGGGCAAGCGACCAGCGUGAUCUCACAGAGCACAAACUCUCAGACUCCAACCACAGUGGCAUAGGUCUUCACACCCUUUCUAGCCACAAGAGUCCCCUGAGACACAUCUGAGGAGAGAAGCUCACUCUGCCUAGGCCAGGCAGGCCUGAGGAAGAACCCAUGUUUCCAGGAGCCAUUUCCUCAGCCUUACUCCUUCCGCCUCCUGCCUCUAUUACGGAUGUGGGCAUUCUCCCUUGGUGAGACUUUCCUUGUCUUGUGGGUGCUGUGGGUGCUGCAAGCCUCAAUGCCCCUCCUUGCCAUUGGAGCAUGUUGCUGAGAAACACGUCUGGGCAAAAAUCAAGGCCUUGUGAACUGGUAGAACUCUUCAGAAGUGGAUUGUGGCCUCCUGUGGCUCUGCCCCUGCCCCCUCCUCUGGAACUAAUGUGCUGGGUCUGGACCAGACACUCUGAGGGAAGUAAAUUCCUUAACUGAUCAUGGGCUACCUCCCUACCCUCCAACUGCCACCUCCUUCAGCUAGAAUCACCUUAGGUCAGCUUUGCAUUUCCUUGGAUUGAUAAUUCUUCUUUUGCUUCUCCAGCUCAGGACCACUCUGACAACUCUCCUAACAAGAUGAAUGAAGUUACUUACUCUUCCCUGAACUUCACAGCCCAGCAACCCGGACAACCAACGUCAGCCUCCUCAUCCCCAACAAUCACAGACACAAUUUAUUCAGAAGUAAAAAAGAAGUAAUGCAACCUGUCCAGCUCACUGCAUGCUGAUGUAUUCCAAGUCUCUUACCCUCAGCACUAGAAGAUUCCCUUCCCCUCUGGGAGUGGUGGGGAGGUUGGGGACAGAAAGAAGUUUCCCCAACUCUUCCUUCCUAAUAGGCACUCUAGGCUGCCUGGUCACAGCCCCUCCCUCAGUGUCGAUAGAUGAAAAGGUACAUUGGGAGUCUGUAGGAAACCCAACCUUCUUGUCAUUGAAAUUUGGCAAAGCUGACUUUGGUAAAGAGUGGCCAGAACUUCCCCUGCCUUCCCCUUUUCCAAACCUGGACUUGUUUUAAACUUACCUAUUCAGAGCACUCAUUCCUUCCCACCCCAGUCCUGUCCUAUCACUGUAAUUCGGGUUUGCCAUAGCUUUGAGGUUACAUCCUUUUCCAUGAAGUACAUGUGCCAGAAAACAAGAAAGAGAAAGUAAAAGCAGUAAUGGCUUCUCCUAUUUCUCCAAAGCCCUGUGUGAACUCACCAAACAUAAGAAAACCAAAUAUGUAACAACAGUGAAAUUCCACACCUUUGUCCACUGUCAGGGUUUCUACCUGCAGGAUCAGGGUCUAAGCACCUUGCUGCUUAGCUAGAAUGCCACCUAAUCCUUCUGGCAAGCCUGUCUUCUGGGAAUCCACUAGAAGCAACUAGGAAAACCACUUGCCAAACUCCAAGGCAAUUCCUGAUGGAAAAUGCAAAAGCACAGAUAUGUUUUAUUAUCUUUAUGGGCUUUAUUCAAGGAAGUGCUGAGAGAGGGAGGAGUUAUAGCUCUAGGAGGGAACCAGCUUCUGAUAAACACAAUCUGCUAGGAACUUGGGAAAGGAAUCAGAGACCUGCCCUUCAGAGAUUCUUUAAAUUACUGUUAAAGAAUACACAAUUUGGGGUAUUGGGGUUUUUCUCCUUUUCUCUGAGACAUUCCACUAUUUUAAUUUUAUAAGUGUUUAUUUAUGUGAAAAGGAUUAUUUUUACUUAGCUUAGCUAUGUAGGCCAAUCUGAUUGCCUUAGGUGAAAGAAGCUACCAAAAUCCCUCAGGUCCCUUGGUCAGGAGCUUCUCAAGGUUUUUUGUCAGAAGCUCCAAAUGGAAAAUAAGAAGAGGUUUUCCUCAUUCAUAACUAGAACUAGAUUUAACUCAGUUUCUAGGCACCUCAGACCAAUCAUCAACUCCCAUUCUAUUCCAUGUUUGCACCUGUGCAUUUUCUGUCUGCCUCCACUCACUUUCUCAGGAAACCUUGGACUCUGCUAAGGUGUAUUUGGUCCUUGAGAAGUGGGAGCACCCUACAGGGACACUAUCACUCAUGCUGGUGGCAUUGUUUACAACUAGAAAGCUGCACUGCUGCUGAUGCCCCUUGGGGGAACGGGGCUGUGAGGAGGAGGUUUAUAACUUGAGGCUAGCCUUUUUUAACAGCCUUUGAAAUUUAUUUUCUCCUAUGAAGUCUAUAAAUGUAUCUUAUAAUAAAAAGGAAGGAUAGGAGGAAGACAGGCAAAUGUACUUCUCACCCAGUCUUCUACACAGAUGGAAUGUCUUUGGGGCUAAGAGAAAGGUUUUAUUGUAUAUUGCCUACCUGAUCUCAUGUUAGGCCUAAGAGACUUUUUCAAAGAGCAUUGGCUCAGAGUUCUCUAUACUCAGGUACCUCUUUCGGGGUUUUCUAACCCUGACACGGACUGUGCAUACUUUCCCUUAUCCAUGCUAUGCUGUUAUUUAAUUUUGCCUGGCUAAGACUAUGUCUGAAUUAUAUAUAAAAAUUGUUCUAUGUUUAUAAUAAAAAUAAUAUAUCAGACAUC
Cebus imitator (Panamanian white-faced capuchin) is the source of this 4039-nucleotide RNA transcript. It is a transcript of the gene named carcinoembryonic antigen-related cell adhesion molecule 1-like, with no coding region annotated. Lineage: Eukaryota; Metazoa; Chordata; Mammalia; Primates; Cebidae. The record is from RefSeq and is a predicted model, not a curated record. The transcript is spliced from 9 exons.